RNAcentral lists this RNase P RNA (219 nucleotides) under Pseudoloma neurophilia. RNAcentral describes it as "Nuclear RNase P". It matches the Rfam family "Nuclear RNase P". From Rfam's summary of the family: Ribonuclease P (RNase P) is a ubiquitous endoribonuclease, found in archaea, bacteria and eukarya as well as chloroplasts and mitochondria. Its best characterised activity is the generation of mature 5'-ends of tRNAs by cleaving the 5'-leader elements of precursor-tRNAs. Cellular RNase Ps are ribonucleoproteins. The record is from Rfam by way of RNAcentral. Lineage: Eukaryota; Fungi; Microsporidia.
UUCGCAAAGUUUUCGUUCAGAGGCCUUUAGGUCUUUAGGAAGGUCUGAGAAUCACAACAGUCGAAAUGACAUAAACGAGAGUUUAGUAACUGGAUUAUCAGAAAUUCACGAUGACAGCUCUGUCAUUGUUUGAAAUAUGCCAGUGUGAUUGUUGUGAUAGUCCGAUACGAAAAGUGACAAUUGGUCUUGUUAUAACUCAAUUCAGACUACUCUUGCGAA